GCCGCCAUAGCUCAGUGGUACGAGCGCCGUCUUGGUAAGACGGAGGCCUCGGGUUCGAUCCCCGAUGGUGGCUCCA
RNAcentral lists this transfer RNA (76 nucleotides) under Tsukamurella tyrosinosolvens. Its description in RNAcentral is "tRNA_Thr_GGT". It matches the Rfam family "tRNA". From Rfam's summary of the family: Transfer RNA (tRNA) molecules are approximately 80 nucleotides in length. Their secondary structure includes four short double-helical elements and three loops (D, anti-codon, and T loops). The record is from RNAcentral. Lineage: Bacteria; Bacillati; Actinomycetota; Actinomycetes; Mycobacteriales; Tsukamurellaceae.